GUAGGUGAAAGCUUACAUCUCUUCGGAGCAUUUUACGAGGUGCUGCAUGGUUGUCGUCAGCUCGUGCCGUGAGGUGCCGGGUUAAGUCCCAUAACGAGCGCAACCCUACCUUUAGUUGCCAUCAGGUUAAGCUGGGGACUCUAAAGGAACUGCCUACGCAAGUAGUGAGGAAGGCGGGGAUGACGUCAAAUCAGCACGGCCCUUACGUCCAGGGCUACACACGUGCUACAAUGGCCGAUACAGAGGGCAGCUACCUGGUGACAGGAUGCAAAUCUCCAAAGUCGGUCUCAGUUCGGAUCGGAGUCUGCAACCCGACUCCGUGAAGUUGGAUUCGCUAGUAAUCGCGCAUCAGCCAUGGCGCGGUGAAUACGUUCCCGGGCCUUGU
This 385-nucleotide ribosomal RNA is filed under the name uncultured Sphingobacteriales bacterium. RNAcentral's name for it is "bacterial SSU rRNA". It matches the Rfam family "Bacterial small subunit ribosomal RNA", at positions 997 to 1384 of the family's 1533-position model. Lineage: Bacteria; Pseudomonadati; Bacteroidota; Sphingobacteriia; Sphingobacteriales. The record is from RNAcentral.